Molecule: ribosomal RNA, 971 nt
Filed under: uncultured Arcobacter sp.
Lineage: Bacteria; Pseudomonadati; Campylobacterota; Epsilonproteobacteria; Campylobacterales; Arcobacteraceae
Description: bacterial SSU rRNA
Rfam family: Bacterial small subunit ribosomal RNA
Source: RNAcentral
GGCGGACGGGUGAGUAAUAUAUAGGUAAUGUGCCCUAGAGAAGAGGAUAACAGUUGGAAACGACUGCUAAUACUCUAUAUGCCUUUAAGACAAAAGUCUGCAAGGGAAAUAUUUAUAGCUCUAGGAUCGGCCUGUACGGUAUCAGCUAGUUGGUGAGGUAAUGGCUCACCAAGGCAAUGACGCCUAACUGGUUUGAGAGGAUGAUCAGUCACACUGGAACUGAGACACGGUCCAGACUCCUACGGGAGGCAGCAGUGGGGAAUAUUGCACAAUGGGGGAAACCCUGAUGCAGCAACGCCGCGUGGAGGAUGACACAUUUCGGUGCGUAAACUCCUUUUAUAUAGGAAGAUAAUGACGGUACUAUAUGAAUAAGCGCCGGCUAACUCCGUGCCAGCAGCCGCGGUAAUACGGAGGGCGCAAGCGUUACUCGGAAUCACUGGGCGUAAAGAGCGUGUAGGCGGGUUAAUAAGUUUGAAGUGAAAUCCUAUGGCUCAACCAUAGAACUGCUUUGAAAACUGUUAACCUAGAAUAUGGGAGAGGUAGAUGGAAUUUCUGGUGUAGGGGUAAAAUCCGUAGAGAUCAGAAGGAAUACCGAUUGCGAAGGCGAUCUACUGGAACAUUAUUGACGCUGAGACGCGAAAGCGUGGGGAGCAAACAGGAUUAGAUACCCUGGUAGUCCACGCCCUAAACGAUGUACACUACUUGUUGUGAGGCUAGACCUUGCAGUAAUGCAGUAAACACAUUAAGUGUACCGCCUGGGGAGUACGGUCGCAAGAUCUACAACUCAAAGGAAUAGACGGGGACCCGCACAAGCGGUGGAGCAUGUGGUUUAAUUCUACGAUACGCGAAGAACCUUACCUGGACUUUGACAUAGUAAGAACUUUCUAGAAAUAGAUUGGUGUCUGCUUGCAAAAGCUUAUAUACAGGUGCUGCACGGCUGUCGUCAGCUCUUGUCGUGAGAUGUUGGGUUA